GACGAACGCUGGCGGCGUGCUUAACACAUGCAAGUCGAACGGAAAGGCCCUGCUCUUGUUGGUUUCUCGUUUGCCGAACGGGUGAGUAACACAUGUGUAACCUGCCCUUGUCUUUGUGAUAUCUUCAGGAAACUGGGGCUCUUACCCCAUAUGAUCUCUUGCUGCGUGUGGGUGAUUGGAAAGUUUCGGCGGUUGGGUCUGGACUCGCUGCUUAUCAGCUGGUUGGUGUGGUAGUUGCAUACCACGGCUUUGACGGGUAGCCGGCCUGAGAGGGUGACCGGCCACAUUGGGACUGCGAUAAGGAACAGAAGCCUACGGGAGGCAGCAGUGGGGAACCUUGCAGAAUGGGCGGAAGCGUGAUGCAGCAACGCCGCGUGCGGGAUGACGGCUUUCGGGUUGUAAACCGAUUUCGAAGGUGACGAAGAGUGAGUGACGGUAAUGGGUAAAGAAGCACCGGCUAACUACGUG
Molecule: ribosomal RNA, 468 nt
Filed under: uncultured bacterium
Lineage: Bacteria
Description: partial 16S ribosomal RNA
Rfam family: Bacterial small subunit ribosomal RNA
Source: RNAcentral